AACGCGAAGAACCUUACCAGCCCUUGACAUCCCGGUCGCGGACUCCAGAGACGGAGUCCUUCAGUUCGGCUGGACCGGAGACAGGUGCUGCAUGGCUGUCGUCAGCUCGUGUCGUGAGAUGUUGGGUUAAGUCCCGCAACGAGCGCAACCCCCGUCCUUAGUUGCUACCAUUUAGUUGAGCACUCUAAGGAGACUGCCGGUGAUAAGCCGCGAGGAAGGUGGGGAUGACGUCAAGUCCUCAUGGCCCUUACGGGCUGGGCUACACACGUGCUACAAUGGCGGUGACAAUGGGACGCUAAGGGGCAACCCUUCGCAAAUCUCAAAAAGCCGUCUCAGUUCGGAUUGGGCUCUGCAACUCGAGCCCAUGAAGUUGGAAUCGCUAGUAAUCGUGGAUCAGCACGCCACGGUGAAUACGUUCCCGGGCCUUGUA
This 430-nucleotide ribosomal RNA is filed under the name uncultured Alphaproteobacteria bacterium. Its description in RNAcentral is "bacterial SSU rRNA". It matches the Rfam family "Bacterial small subunit ribosomal RNA", at positions 958 to 1385 of the family's 1533-position model. Lineage: Bacteria; Pseudomonadati; Pseudomonadota; Alphaproteobacteria. The record is from RNAcentral.